GACGAACGCUGGCGGCGUGCUUAACACAUGCAAGUCGAACGGUGAAGCGCCUUCCUUUUUGGUGGGUGUGGAUGAGUGGCGAACGGGUGAGUAACACGUGAGUAACCUGCCCCCUUCUUCUGGAUAACCGCAUGAAAGUGUGGCUAAUACGGGAUAUUCUGGGUCUGUCGCAUGAUGGGUCUGGGAAAGAUAUUGUUUCGGUGGGGGAUGGGCUCGCGGCCUAUCAGCUCGUUGGUGGGGUGAUGGCCUACCAAGGCGGUGACGGGUAGCCGGCCUGAGAGGGUGGACGGUCACACUGGGACUGAGACACGGCCCCGACUCCUACGGGAGGCAGCAGUGGGGAAUAUUGCACAAUGGGCGCAAGCCUGAUGCAGCGACGCCGCGUGAGGGAUGGAGGCCUUCGGGUUGUGAACCUCUUUCGCCAGUGAAGCAGGCCUGCCUCGUUUGUGGGUGGGUUGACGGUAGCUGGAUAAGAAGCGCCGGCUAACUACGUG
RNAcentral lists this ribosomal RNA (494 nucleotides) under uncultured bacterium. RNAcentral's name for it is "partial 16S ribosomal RNA". It matches the Rfam family "Bacterial small subunit ribosomal RNA", at positions 28 to 507 of the family's 1533-position model. The record is from RNAcentral.